This is a long non-coding RNA of Halichondria panicea, 592 nucleotides long. RefSeq lists it as uncharacterized. The transcript is spliced from 2 exons. The record is from RefSeq and is a predicted model, not a curated record. Lineage: Eukaryota; Metazoa; Porifera; Demospongiae; Suberitida; Halichondriidae.
AAUUCUAUCAAUAUUCUUAAGCAAAAUCUACUGCCAUGAUAAUGUUUUUUACUUCUCUCUGAGUAAUUUCUACUGUUCUUUUUGUCGAAGCAUCAGAAGUGUACCUAAAUGUCAAAAGUGAGGCUUGCUCGGAAAAGGCUAUAGAGUGAAGCUGAUCUGUGAAGGAGUGGAUCUCGUAGGAUUACGUUGGCAUUACAGUAGCCCUAACUCUACCGAAUAUGUGAACAUCUUCGAAAUUCUUGUGGAUACUUCUUGGCAAAUUUUUCUUAGCAAUAUCACUAAUAACAACAAUCCUGCAUUCUUAAGCGUUCAAUUCGUAAAUAUUUCUCGCCCUCUUGAGUCAAACAUGGCAAAUUAUUCAUCCACUUACAGUUGAUCUGUUGGCGCUAGAAAAGCAGAACAUUACUAGCAGAACGUGUGGCGAUGUCGUUACCUAUAAGAGGAUACUGGUUCACUUUUGCAGCUUUAUAUUUUUAUAUUUUUCCCCUAUAGACAACUCGACACUUCAAGAGACCUGUCAAAUAUAGACUAUACAUGGUCUAGUCUACAUGUUUUGCAAUGACAUAAUGUUAACGUUAAUCCAAAAAACAUG